ACGCUCGACACCUACGGGGAGGCAGCAGUGGGGAAUAUUGCACAAUGGGGGAAACCCUGAUGCAGCGACGCCGCGUGAGCGAAGAAGUAUUUCGGUAUGUAAAGCUCUAUCAGCAGGGAANAAAAUGACGGUACCUGACUAAGGAGCCCCGGCUAACUACGUGUCAGCAGCCGCGGUAAUCUGAGCGGCUGGCAAGGC
Molecule: ribosomal RNA, 198 nt
Filed under: uncultured bacterium
Lineage: Bacteria
Description: partial 16S ribosomal RNA
Rfam family: Bacterial small subunit ribosomal RNA
Source: RNAcentral